Non-coding RNA from Marchantia polymorpha subsp. ruderalis, 82 nucleotides. The record is from the annotation of a GenBank genome assembly. Lineage: Eukaryota; Viridiplantae; Streptophyta; Marchantiopsida; Marchantiales; Marchantiaceae.
GUGCUUCGUGUAGAACAUCGCCGUCAUAGAUACUUCGCUCUUGUGAAGCGCUUUAUGACGGUGACGUUCUACACGAAGUGAC